GAUUAACGCUGGCGGCGUGCAUAACACAUGCAAGUCGAACGAUGAAACUUAGUUGCCUUCUUCGGAAAGACACUAAGCGGAAUAGUGGCGAACGGGGGAGUAACGCUGGAGUAACCUUCCUUAUACAAGGUGAUAGCCUUGGGUAACGAAUUAUGUUACCCUUUAAAACCAUAAAAUCACAUGCAAGAGUUGUCAAAGUGAUAGCGGUGUAAGAUGGACUUGCGUCUGUUUGGCUGGUUGGUGAGAUAACAGCUCACAAAGGCAACGAUCAGUAGCCGGCUUGAGGGAGUAGACGGCCACAUUGCGAGUGCGACCCGGCGCAAACUCUGACGGGAGGCAGCAGUGGGGAAAUUUGCACAAUGAGGGAAACCGUGAGGCGGCGGCGCCGCGUGAUUUAGAAAGCCUUCGGGUUGUAAAAAUCUUUUGUAUAGGAAGAAAAUGACGGUACUAGACGAAUAAGGUCCGGCUAAUUACGUG
This 477-nucleotide ribosomal RNA is filed under the name uncultured bacterium. Its description in RNAcentral is "partial 16S ribosomal RNA". It matches the Rfam family "Bacterial small subunit ribosomal RNA", at positions 28 to 507 of the family's 1533-position model. The record is from RNAcentral.